AGCGAGGGCAGGGCCAGGCAGAGAGGUAGCCACAAGGGGCGGGCAGCCUGCCGGCCCUGGGCCUCCCCGUUUCCUCAGCCAGAGGGCCUGCAGGGCGAUGCCUUUUUCUUCCUCAGCGUGUGAAGCUCAGGAGUUGGGCCUCCCCGGAUGGCCUGCGGCCUCUGCCUUUGCCGCCCUGGAGGUGGGCAGUGAGACCCCAACAUGGGAACCCAGCCUCUGGCUCCAGAGAAGAAUCAGGCCCUAAAAGAGAGCCCUAAGAAAAUUAGACAAUGGUUCUCUGUUUCAUGAUUUUAAACCUGAUUUUGCUGCCGUGUUUGGCAAAGUUAGGGCCACUGUAUUUUCCCAGUAGUUCCAAGUCUGGGCCAUAUGCCUGCUUUUGAGGAGAGACCCUCCGAGAACACAGAUGCCCCCAGGCCACAGAGCAGGUCAUCAGGGCUGUCACCACCUUGUUCCCUGUGGGUGGUCUACAACCAAAGAUGGUCAAAAGCAUCAUUUGUAUCUUCAGUCAAAUCAAGCGCUCAAAGACACUGAUUUUUUGAUGACGCACCAGGGAGAACUUUUCAGCUGAGAUUUUUAAAAGCCUUAGUCUUUGGUGUAUUUUUUUAAGUUUUCAAACUGUAAGUAUUGGGCUUUGUAGUUUGAUGUAAACUCGGAGUAGUGGCAUUUGGGGCCUGUGACCAGUAACCAAACCAAACUUGUAGCCGACCAUGGAUCUGAAUAAACCUGUUCUUGGUCCUGA
Molecule: long non-coding RNA, 739 nt
Organism: Aethalodelphis obliquidens (Pacific white-sided dolphin)
Lineage: Eukaryota; Metazoa; Chordata; Mammalia; Artiodactyla; Delphinidae
Exons: 2
Source: RefSeq, a predicted model, not a curated record